UGCCCUAUAGUAUAACGGUUUAUUACUACAGACUCUAAAUCUGAAGAUUUCAGUUCGACUCUGAAUGGGGCGA
Molecule: transfer RNA, 73 nt
Filed under: Crassvirales sp.
Lineage: Duplodnaviria; Heunggongvirae; Uroviricota; Caudoviricetes; Crassvirales
Description: tRNA-OTHER
Rfam family: tRNA
About the family: Transfer RNA (tRNA) molecules are approximately 80 nucleotides in length. Their secondary structure includes four short double-helical elements and three loops (D, anti-codon, and T loops).
Source: RNAcentral